This 119-nucleotide ribosomal RNA is filed under the name Pteropus alecto (black flying fox). Lineage: Eukaryota; Metazoa; Chordata; Mammalia; Chiroptera; Pteropodidae. The record is from RNAcentral.
AUCUGCAGCCAUGCUACCCUGAACAAGCCCAGUCCUCUCUGAUCUCAGAAGCUAAGCAGGGUUGGGCCUGGUUAGUAAUUGGAUGGGAGGCCACCUAGGAAGACCAGGUGCCAUAGACU